CCUACGGGCGGCAGCAGUGAGGAAUAUUGGUCAAUGGACGCGAGUCUGAACCAGCCAAGUAGCGUGAAGGAUGACUGCCCUAUGGGUUGUAAACUUCUUUUGUAAAGGAAUAAAACGAGGCACGUGUGCCUUUUUGCAUGUACUUUAUGAAUAAGGAUCGGCCAACUCCGUGCCAGCAGCCGCGGUAAUACGGAGGAUUCGAGCGUUAUCCGGAUUUAUUGGGUUUAAAGGGAGCGUAGAUGGGUUGUUAAGUCAGUGGUGAAAGUUUGCGGCUCAACCGUAAAAUUGCAAUUGAUACUGGUAGUCUAGAGAACAGUUGAGGUAGGCGGAAUGCGUGGUGUAGCGGUGAAAUGCUUAGAGAUCACGAAGAACCCCGAUUGCGAAGGCAGCUUACUAAGCUGUGACUGACAUUGAUGCUCGAAAGUGUGGGGAUCAAACAGGAUUAGAUACCCCUGUAGUC
Molecule: ribosomal RNA, 460 nt
Filed under: uncultured bacterium
Lineage: Bacteria
Description: partial 16S ribosomal RNA
Rfam family: Bacterial small subunit ribosomal RNA
Source: RNAcentral